This 465-nucleotide ribosomal RNA is filed under the name uncultured bacterium. Its description in RNAcentral is "partial 16S ribosomal RNA". It matches the Rfam family "Bacterial small subunit ribosomal RNA", at positions 28 to 507 of the family's 1533-position model. The record is from RNAcentral.
GACGAACGCUGGCGGCGUGCUUAACACAUGCAAGUCGAACGGAAAGGCCCCUUUGGGGGUCCUCGAGUGGCGAACGGGUGAGUAACACGUGAGUAACCUGCCCUUAACUUCGGGAUAACUUCAGGAAACUGGGGCUAAUACCGGCUAGGAAUCCUUGCUGCAUGGUGGGGGUUGGAAAGCUUCGGGGGUUUUGGAUGGACUCGCGGCUUAUCAGCUUGUUGGUGGGGUAGUGGCUUACCAAGGCUUUGACGGGUAGCCGGCCUUAGGGGGCGACCGGCCAAAUUGGGAAUGAGAUACGGCCCAGACUCCUACGGGAGGAAGGAGUGGGGAAUAGUGAACAAUGGGCGGAAGCCGGAUGCAGCAAAGCCGCGGGGGGGAUGACGGCCUUCGGGUUGUAAACCGCUUUCAGCAGGGGAGAAGCUUGUGGUGACGGUACCUGCAGAAGAAGCACCGGCUAACUACGUG